UACGGAGGGUGCGAGCGUUAUCCGGAAUCACUGGGCGUAAAGGGCGCGUAGGCGGCUCGUGAAGUCAGUGGUGAAAGCCCAGGGCUCAACUCUGGGUCGGCCACUGAUACUCGCGAGCUCGAGUUUGGUAGAGGCAGAUGGAAUUCCGGGUGUAGCGGUGGAAUGCGUAGAGAUCCGGAAGAACACCGGUGGCGAAGGCGGUCUGCUGG
RNAcentral lists this ribosomal RNA (209 nucleotides) under uncultured bacterium. Its description in RNAcentral is "partial 16S ribosomal RNA". It matches the Rfam family "Bacterial small subunit ribosomal RNA", at positions 524 to 732 of the family's 1533-position model. The record is from RNAcentral.